Molecule: ribosomal RNA, 233 nt
Filed under: uncultured bacterium
Lineage: Bacteria
Description: partial 16S ribosomal RNA
Rfam family: Bacterial small subunit ribosomal RNA (bases 29-233)
Source: RNAcentral
GACAGGAGGCCUCAAGGCGUUUAGGUCGGGAAUCACUGGGCUUAAAGCGUGUGUAGGCAGGACGCCUAAGUGAUCUUGUGAAAUCCCCCGGCUCACCCGGGGAACUGCUGGGCAUACUGGGCGUCUUGGGCCAAACUGAGGGGCAACUAGGAACCGAAGCGGUGGAGCGGUGAAAUGCGUAGAUAUCGGCUUGGAACGCCCGAAGGUGAAACGAGGUGAGCUGGGGUUGUGGC